CACAUGACUCUCGGCAACGGAUAUCUCGGCUCUCGCAUCGAUGAAGAACGUAGCGAAAUGUGAUAUUUGGUGUGAAUUGCAGAAUCCCGUGAACCAUCGAGUCUUUGAACGCAAGUUGCGCCCGAGGCCUUGCGGCCAAGGGCACGCCUGCCUGGGCGUCACUC
RNAcentral lists this ribosomal RNA (164 nucleotides) under Costus pulverulentus. RNAcentral describes it as "5.8S ribosomal RNA". It matches the Rfam family "5.8S ribosomal RNA". Rfam says of the family: 5.8S ribosomal RNA (5.8S rRNA) is a component of the large subunit of the eukaryotic ribosome. It is transcribed by RNA polymerase I as part of the 45S precursor that also contains 18S and 28S rRNA. Functionally, it is thought that 5.8S rRNA may be involved in ribosome translocation. Lineage: Eukaryota; Viridiplantae; Streptophyta; Magnoliopsida; Zingiberales; Costaceae. The record is from RNAcentral.